RNAcentral lists this ribosomal RNA (918 nucleotides) under uncultured bacterium. RNAcentral's name for it is "bacterial SSU rRNA". It matches the Rfam family "Bacterial small subunit ribosomal RNA", at positions 33 to 942 of the family's 1533-position model. The record is from RNAcentral.
ACGCUGGCGGCAGGCUUAACACAUGCAAGUCGAACGGUAACAGGAAUUAGCUUGCUAAUUUGCUGACGAGUGGCGGACGGGUGAGUAAUGCUUGGGAAUCUGGCUUAUGGAGGGGGAUAACUACGGGAAACUGUAGCUAAUACCGCGUAAAAUCUUCGGAUUAAAGGGUGGGACUUUCGAGCCACCUGCCAUAAGAUGAGCCCAAGUGGGAUUAGGUAGUUGGUUAGGUAAAGGCUGACCAAGCCGACGAUCUCUAGCUGGUCUGAGAGGAUGACCAGCCACACUGGAACUGAGACACGGUCCAGACUCCUACGGGAGGCAGCAGUGGGGAAUAUUGCACAAUGGGGGGAACCCUGAUGCAGCCAUGCCGCGUGAAUGAAGAAGGCCUUCGGGUUGUAAAGUUCCUUCGGUGACGAGGAAGGUUGAUAGGUUAAUAGCCUAUCAAAUUGACGUUAAUCACAGAAGAAGCACCGGCUAACUCCGUGCCAGUAGCCGCGGUAAUACGGGGGGUGCGAGCGUUAAUCGGAAUAACUAGGCGUAAAGGGCACGCAGGCGGUGACUUAAGUGAGAUGUGAAAGCCCCGAGCUUAACUUGGGAAUUGCAUUUCAUACUGGGUCGCUAGAGUACUUUAGGGAGGGGUAGAAUUCCACGUGUAGCGGUGAAAUGCGUAGAGAUGUGGAGGAAUACCGAAGGCGAAGGCAGCCCCUUGGGAAUGUACUGACGCUCAUGUGCGAAAGCGUGGGGAGCAAACAGGAUUAGAUACCCUGGUAGUCCACGCUGUAAACGAUGUCGAUUUGGGGAUUGGGCUUUGAGCUUGGUGCCCGUAGCUAACGUGAUAAAUCGACCGCCUGGGGAGUACGGCCGCAAGGUUAAAACUCAAAUGAAUUGACGGGGGCCCGCACAAGCGGUGGAGCAUGU